GAUAGUGUGGCCGAUUAGUCUAUGGCGCUGGUUUUAGGCACCAGUCUCUUCGGAGCCAAGGGUUCGAAUCCCUUCACUGUCA
Daphnia pulex (common water flea) is the source of this 82-nucleotide non-coding RNA. The record is from Rfam. NCBI's taxonomy places the organism in Eukaryota, Metazoa, Arthropoda, Branchiopoda, Diplostraca, Daphniidae.